RNAcentral lists this ribosomal RNA (378 nucleotides) under uncultured bacterium. RNAcentral describes it as "partial 16S ribosomal RNA". It matches the Rfam family "Bacterial small subunit ribosomal RNA", at positions 330 to 725 of the family's 1533-position model. The record is from RNAcentral.
UCCAGACUCCUACGGGAGGCAGCAGUGGGGAAUAUUGCACAAUGGGGGAAACCCUGAUGCAGCGACGCCGCGUGAGCGAUGAAGUAUUUCGGUAUGUAAAGCUCUAUCAGCAGGGAAGAAAAUGACGGUACCUGACUAAGAAGCCCCGGCUAACUACGUGCCAGCAGCCGCGGUAAUACGUAGGUGGCGAGCGUUAUCCGGAAUGAUUGGGCGUAAAGGGUGCGCAGGCGGUCCUGCAAGUCUGGAGUGAAACGCAUGAGCUCAACUCCUGCAGGGCUCUGGAAACUGGAGGACUGGAGAGCAGGAGAGGGCGGUGGAACUCCAUGUGUAGCGGUAAAAUGCGUAGAUAUAGGGAAGAACACCAGUGGCGAAGGCGGC